This 1392-nucleotide ribosomal RNA is filed under the name Enterococcus durans. RNAcentral describes it as "bacterial SSU rRNA". It matches the Rfam family "Bacterial small subunit ribosomal RNA", at positions 74 to 1447 of the family's 1533-position model. The record is from RNAcentral. Lineage: Bacteria; Bacillati; Bacillota; Bacilli; Lactobacillales; Enterococcaceae.
CGGAGCUUGCUCCACCGGAAAAAGAAGAGUGGCGAACGGGUGAGUAACACGUGGGUAACCUGCCCAUCAGAAGGGGAUAACACUUGGAAACAGGUGCUAAUACCGUAUAACAAUCGAAACCGCAUGGUUUUGAUUUGAAAGGCGCUUUCGGGUGUCGCUGAUGGAUGGACCCGCGGUGCAUUAGCUAGUUGGUGAGGUAACGGCUCACCAAGGCCACGAUGCAUAGCCGACCUGAGAGGGUGAUCGGCCACAUUGGGACUGAGACACGGCCCAAACUCCUACGGGAGGCAGCAGUAGGGAAUCUUCGGCAAUGGACGAAAGUCUGACCGAGCAACGCCGCGUGAGUGAAGAAGGUUUUCGGAUCGUAAAACUCUGUUGUUAGAGAAGAACAAGGAUGAGAGUAACUGUUCAUCCCUUGACGGUAUCUAACCAGAAAGCCACGGCUAACUACGUGCCAGCAGCCGCGGUAAUACGUAGGUGGCAAGCGUUGUCCGGAUUUAUUGGGCGUAAAGCGAGCGCAGGCGGUUUCUUAAGUCUGAUGUGAAAGCCCCCGGCUCAACCGGGGAGGGUCAUUGGAAACUGGGAGACUUGAGUGCAGAAGAGGAGAGUGGAAUUCCAUGUGUAGCGGUGAAAUGCGUAGAUAUAUGGAGGAACACCAGUGGCGAAGGCGGCUCUCUGGUCUGUAACUGACGCUGAGGCUCGAAAGCGUGGGGAGCAAACAGGAUUAGAUACCCUGGUAGUCCACGCCGUAAACGAUGAGUGCUAAGUGUUGGAGGGUUUCCGCCCUUCAGUGCUGCAGCUAACGCAUUAAGCACUCCGCCUGGGGAGUACGACCGCAAGGUUGAAACUCAAAGGAAUUGACGGGGGCCCGCACAAGCGGUGGAGCAUGUGGUUUAAUUCGAAGCAACGCGAAGAACCUUACCAGGUCUUGACAUCCUUUGACCACUCUAGAGAUAGAGCUUCCCCUUCGGGGGCAAAGUGACAGGUGGUGCAUGGUUGUCGUCAGCUCGUGUCGUGAGAUGUUGGGUUAAGUCCCGCAACGAGCGCAACCCUUAUUGUUAGUUGCCAUCAUUUAGUUGGGCACUCUAGCAAGACUGCCGGUGACAAACCGGAGGAAGGUGGGGAUGACGUCAAAUCAUCAUGCCCCUUAUGACCUGGGCUACACACGUGCUACAAUGGGAAGUACAACGAGUCGCGAAGUCGCGAGGCUAAGCUAAUCUCUUAAAGCUUCUCUCAGUUCGGAUUGUAGGCUGCAACUCGCCUACAUGAAGCCGGAAUCGCUAGUAAUCGCGGAUCAGCACGCCGCGGUGAAUACGUUCCCGGGCCUUGUACACACCGCCCGUCACACCACGAGAGUUUUAACACCCGAAGUCGGUGAGGUAACCUUUGAGC